RNAcentral lists this ribosomal RNA (856 nucleotides) under uncultured marine bacterium. Its description in RNAcentral is "bacterial SSU rRNA". It matches the Rfam family "Bacterial small subunit ribosomal RNA", at positions 57 to 909 of the family's 1533-position model. The record is from RNAcentral.
GCAAGUCGUGCGAGAAGUAUCUUCGGAUAUGAGUAGAGCGGCGGACGGGUGAGUAACGCGUAGGAAUCUACCUAGUAGAAGGGGAUAGCCCGGGGAAACCCGGAUUAAUACCGUAUACCUCCUUCGGGAGAAAGAAGGCCUCUCUUUGAAGCUUUCGCUACUAGAUGAGCCUGCGUAAGAUUAGCUUGUUGGUGAGGUAAAGGCUCACCAAGGCUACGAUCUUUAGCUGGUCUGAGAGGACGAUCAGCCACAUUGGGACUGAGACACGGCCCAGACUCCUACGGGAGGCAGCAGUGGGGAAUAUUGGACAAUGGGCGCAAGCCUGAUCCAGCCAUACCGCGUGUGUGAAGAAGGCCUUCGGGUUGUAAAGCACUUUAAGCAGGGAGAAAAAGUUAUAAGUUAAUACCUUAUAACCCUGAUGUUACCUGCAGAAUAAGCACCGGCUAAUUCCGUGCCAGCAGCCGCGGUAAUACGGAAGGUGCAAGCGUUAAUCGGAAUUACUGGGCGUAAAGCGCGCGUAGGUGGUUUGUUAAGUUGGAUGUGAAAGCCCUGGGCUCAACCUAGGAACUGCAUCCAAAACUAACUCACUAGAGUACGAUAGAGGGAGGUAGAAUUCAUAGUGUAGCGGUGGAAUGCGUAGAUAUUAUGAAGAAUACCAGUGGCGAAGGCGGCCUCCUGGAUCUGUACUGACACUGAGGUGCGAAAGCGUGGGUAGCGAACAGGAUUAGAUACCCUGGUAGUCCACGCCGUAAACGAUGACAACUAGCUGUUGGGAGACAAUGUCUUUCAGUGGCGCAGCUAACGCUUUAAGUUGUCCGCCUGGGGAGUACGGCCGCCAGGGUAAAACUCAAAUGAA